CCUACGGGUGGCAGCAGUGGGGAAUAUUGCACAAUGGGGGAAACCCUGAUGCAGCGACGCCGCGUGAGCGAUGAAGUAUUUCGGUAUGUAAAGCUCUAUCAGCAGGGAAGAAAAGGACGGUAUCUGACUAAGAAGCCCCGGCUAACUACGUGCCAGCAGCCGGCGUAAUACGUAGGGGGCAAGCGUUAACCGGAUUUACUGGGUGCAAAGGGAGCGGAGACGGCGGUGCAAGUCAGAUGUGAAAGCCUGGGGCUCAACCCCGGGACUGCAUUUGGAACUGGGCUGCUGGAGUGUCGGAGAGGCAGGCGGAAUUCCUAGUGUAGCAGUGAAAUGCGUAGAUAUUAGGAGGAACACCAGUGGCGAAGGCGGCCAGCUGGACGAUGACUGACGUUGAGGCGCGAAAGCGUGGGGAGCAAACAGGAUUAGAUACCCGGGUAGUC
This 440-nucleotide ribosomal RNA is filed under the name uncultured bacterium. Its description in RNAcentral is "partial 16S ribosomal RNA". It matches the Rfam family "Bacterial small subunit ribosomal RNA", at positions 338 to 795 of the family's 1533-position model. The record is from RNAcentral.